This 253-nucleotide ribosomal RNA is filed under the name uncultured bacterium. RNAcentral's name for it is "partial 16S ribosomal RNA". It matches the Rfam family "Bacterial small subunit ribosomal RNA", at positions 524 to 776 of the family's 1533-position model. The record is from RNAcentral.
GACGAACCGUGCGAACGUUGUUCGGAAUCACUGGGCUUAAAGGGCGCGUAGGCGGGCUGACAAGUCUGGGGUGAAAUCCCACGGCUCAACCGUGGAACUGCCUUAGAUACUGUCGGCCUCGAGGAAGGUAGGGGCAUGCGGAACUGUAGGUGGAGCGGUGAAAUGCGUUGAUAUCUGGAGGAACACCGGUGGCGAAGGCGACGUCCUGGACCGGCAUUGACGCUGAGGCGCGAAAGCCAGGGGAGCAAACGGG